GAUGAACGCUGGCGGCGUGCCUAAUACAUGCAAGUCGAGCGAACGGACGAUAAGCUUGCUUCUCUGAUGUUAGCGGCGGACGGGUGAGUAACACGUGGAUAACCUACCUAUAAGACUGGGAUAACUUCGGGAAACCGGAGCUAAUACCAGAUCAUAUUUUGAACCGCAUGGUUCAAAAGUGAAAGACGGUCUUGCUGUCACUUAUAGAUGGAUCCGCGCUGCAUUAGCUAGUUGGUAAGGUAACGGCUUACCAAGGCGACGAUGCAUAGCCGACCUGAGAGGAUGAUCGGCCACACUGGAACUGAGACACGGUCCAGACUCCUACGGGAGGCAGCAGUAGGGAAUCUUGCGCAAUGGGCGAAAGCCUGACGGAGCCACGCCGCGUGAGUGAUGAAGGUCUUCGGGUCGUAAAACUCUGUUAUUAGGGAAGAACAGAUGUGUAAGUAAAUGUGCCCAUCUUGACGGUACCUAAAGAGAAAGCCACGGCUAACUACGUG
RNAcentral lists this ribosomal RNA (497 nucleotides) under uncultured bacterium. RNAcentral's name for it is "partial 16S ribosomal RNA". It matches the Rfam family "Bacterial small subunit ribosomal RNA", at positions 28 to 507 of the family's 1533-position model. The record is from RNAcentral.